This 253-nucleotide ribosomal RNA is filed under the name uncultured bacterium. Its description in RNAcentral is "partial 16S ribosomal RNA". It matches the Rfam family "Bacterial small subunit ribosomal RNA", at positions 524 to 776 of the family's 1533-position model. The record is from RNAcentral.
UACGUAGGGGGCAAGCGUUGUCCGGAAUUAUUGGGCGUAAAGAGCGUGUAGGCGGUCCGGUAAGUCAGCUGUGAAAGUCAAGGGCUCAACCCUUGAAAGCCGGUUGAUACUGUCGGGCUAGAGUCCGGAAGAGGCGAGUGGAAUUCCCGGUGUAGCGGUGAAAUGCGCAGAUAUCGGGAGGAACACCAAUGGCGAAGGCAGCUCGCUGGGACGGUACUGACGCUGAGGCGCGAAAGCGUGGGGAGCAAACAGG